GAAGGGGUGGACAAACUGCUUUCAUGUGAAUGUUGCCUUGUUGCUCGUUUCUAGAUGUCUUGCUUUGGACAGCUUCGACGCACGUUUCCAACUCUGUAGGCACAGAUUUUUGUCUUCUUCUCUUUGUUGCUUAGGCAUUGGUUAUUAAAGCUUAGUAUUGCUUGGAUUUGAAGAGUAUAGGGAGUAAAAAAGGUUCGUGAGAAAUGACCAUAUUACCAUGCCC
This 223-nucleotide long non-coding RNA is filed under the name Medicago truncatula (barrel medic). RNAcentral's name for it is "long non-coding RNA (MTRU_LNC000152)". The record is from RNAcentral. Lineage: Eukaryota; Viridiplantae; Streptophyta; Magnoliopsida; Fabales; Fabaceae.